Molecule: long non-coding RNA, 2050 nt
Filed under: Homo sapiens (human)
Lineage: Eukaryota; Metazoa; Chordata; Mammalia; Primates; Hominidae
Description: non-protein coding lnc-HARS-3:1
Source: RNAcentral
AACGAGUAGUAAUUCUCGAAGGCGAGCCCCCGUCCCGCGCGGUCACCACCAGCUCAUAGACCGACAGGCUCUCGCGAUCCAGGGCGCUGUCCAACACCAACGAGUAGUAAUUCUUGAAGGUGGACACCAGCUUGAAGGGGACGUGGGGCAUUAAGGAGCAAGUCACCUGCCCGUUGGCACCUGAGUCACGGUCAGACACGGUGAUGAGGGCGAUGACGGUGCUGAGUGGAGCGUCCUCUCUGAUAGGCAAAUACAAUGAAGUGACCGCCAGUUCUGGAGCAUUAUCAUUUACAUCCAGCACUUUCACCAAAACCUUACAGUGAUUUGACAUCGGAGGACUUCCUUUAUCAACUGCCUUUACUUGAAUUUCGUAGGAUUUUGUUUCUUCAUAAUCCAGUUUAUCAAUUAACCUAAUUUCUCCUGAGCUGGAAUCAACUUUGAAUUUUUCUUGAAUGUCACGAGAAAUACCACUGUCAAAGGAAAAGACGACUUCACCAUUUACACCUUCGUCAGCAUCAGAGGCAUUUAAUGUGGUCACUAAUGUUCCAUUUGCUGUAGUCUCUAACAAGUGGACUCUGUAUACGGCCUGGUCAAACAGUGGGGCGUUAUCAUUAACGUCGAGGACGGUGAUCAGCAGCUCAACUGUACCUUGCAGCUCCGGUUUGCCCCCAUCAGUGGCAGUCAGUAAUAAGUGAAGUUCUGGUGUUUCUUCUCUAUCCAAAUAUUUUCUCAAUUCAAGCCAAAGAGAUUUACUCAGUUCAUCACUUGCCUCUACAUCCAAAGAGAAAUAAUCACUCGGGCUGAGCGUGUACGUUAGAAGAGCGUUAGCACCAAUGUCUGCAUCAGCAGCUCCUUCUAUCGGAAAACGCGAAUUCAGGAGUCUAGAUUCAGGAAUAAAUAUUAUUUGUUCUCUGCCCCUGAAGACGGGUGGAUUAUCGUUAAUGUCUUUCACCUUCACCUCCACAUGGAAAACCUGCAGCGGCCUGUCGGCGAUCAACUCCAGGUGGAUGCUGCACUCCGCGCUCCACUGGCACAGCUCCUCGCGAUCGAUCCGAGAAUUCACAAACAAAAUGCCAUUCUGCAGAUUUACCUCCAGAAGGUCCCUGUGUGUUUUGGACGCCACCCGGAACAGGCGAGGCACCAGCUCCGCCAGCUCCAGUCCCAGGUCCUGAGCAACGCGGCCAACGAAGGUGCCGUGUUUGGCUUCCUCCGGGAUCGAGUAGUGGAGCUGGCCGCUCCCCACCUCCCAGGCUGCGAGGAGCAGAAGCCAAAGAAGCAGAUCCCGGGCUCCCAGGCCCCCUCUCCUAGAAAACACCAUUGCAAAAGGACUACACCUUUCUUAUGCUCUCCUCUUACUUCAAAAUCAUGCCAUUUUAUCUAAUAUUUCCAAUCAUUUAUCUCUUUACCGUUUCUGUCUUCUCUCAGGCGGUGACAAAAUGGAGCUUCCUCCUUCACUUUUAGUGAUCAGUAGCUCCCUUCUAUUGACAAGACUUUGUGGUGUACAGCGACAUCAUGUGGCCAAUGUAAAUUUUAGAUCCAUUCGUUGAUUUUCAAAAUGCAAUCUAUAUCCGUCUGCAAUUUGUUAAAUGCAAUCAUUUUCAAUUUUAUGUCCUUUUAAGACCCAGAACAUUUCAAAUCUCAUUGGAGAGUGUGUAAUCCAGUAUUUUCUUUUAGUAAUGAUUACAAACAUAUUACAAUUGAAUUAGAAACUUUAAGAUCUACUUAACCUCUCCUUACAUCAUUUUAUUUAAAACGAUUUAUCAGCUUAUAUAUUUUUAUUAUUAAAUAUUUGCAACUGAAUGUCAAAGUUUUAAAAUAAGGUAGUUUGACUGAUAUGAUUCACCUUAUUCUAGGAUAGCUUGGGUGUUUUUUUUUAAAUGAUAUUAUACACACACACGUACAUAUGCACAUGUAUAUAUAGUUAUCAGGUACUUACAGAUGACAUUUUUGGAAAAUUUCUGAACACAUGUAAAAUUCCUUUAAUGUGGUAUGAACAACUUCAUCAUUUUCUGAUACUUUAACUGUUAGAAUAAAGAUAUUUGUGACAUUU